UUCACAGCCAACUUAUUGUACAAAAAAAGAAACAAGCAUCUAAUUGCGAUCCUUUUUGGAUUAACCUUUUCCAAUCUAUUUGUUAAAACAAGUAAGCAUUUUGUCAGACAAUUGGGAAGCAACAAAGUAAAGAGCAUGUACACAAAUUCAGGACUAGAGGAAAAAAAAUACAUUUGCAUCAAGGCUCACGCAAUGAUGUAGCUUGGAUUGUUCACAAAUUUGGUGUUUUACCU
Molecule: long non-coding RNA, 233 nt
Filed under: Capsicum annuum
Lineage: Eukaryota; Viridiplantae; Streptophyta; Magnoliopsida; Solanales; Solanaceae
Description: long non-coding RNA (CANN_LNC000817)
Source: RNAcentral